RNAcentral lists this long non-coding RNA (442 nucleotides) under Brassica napus (rape). Its description in RNAcentral is "long non-coding RNA (BNAP_LNC004974)". The record is from RNAcentral. Lineage: Eukaryota; Viridiplantae; Streptophyta; Magnoliopsida; Brassicales; Brassicaceae.
AUAAAACUUCAUUUUAAAAGAGUAGCUUUGUGGCAAUCUGAAUUAGUAAAACUAGACUUGUUCUUCCACGGACCACUUAUCUGAUUCACAGAUUAAUUUGUUGCAAUAACCACACAACUUUAUCAUUGACUACUUGCAUUAUCUAGAAAGGUUCAAAAUGCGCCGAUCUAUUAUAUAAGUAACGUUCUGUAAGGACAGCUACGAGUUCGAAAGCCAUGAACGAACAAAAUCUAUAAUAAUAAAGUCGAAGAGAAACUCUCCACAAGCAGCCACCUCAGCACUUGCUAUUCCAAAAUUUGACACGUGUCACUCUGUCUUUAACUAAGCUGCUAGAGAACAUUCACGGUGCCUCUUCGGAUUUCAUGAACUCUGAUCAAUGCAAGUGUAACUGCUUCAGUUUUCGUCUCUGUUCUACAUUAAUCAAGCCAUUAACACUGCUCCC